RNAcentral lists this ribosomal RNA (358 nucleotides) under uncultured bacterium. RNAcentral's name for it is "bacterial SSU rRNA". It matches the Rfam family "Bacterial small subunit ribosomal RNA", at positions 8 to 353 of the family's 1533-position model. The record is from RNAcentral.
AGAGUUUGAUCCUGGCUCAGGAUGAACGCUAGCUACAGGCUUAACACAUGCAAGUCGAGGGGAAACGAUAUUGGAAGCUUGCUUCCGAUAGGCGUCGACCGGCGCACGGGUGAGUAACGCGUAUCCAACCUGCCCACCACUUGGGGAUAACCUUGCGAAAGUAAGACUAAUACCCAAUGAUAUCUCUAGAAGACAUCUGAAAGAGAUUAAAGAUUUAUCGGUGAUGGAUGGGGAUGCGUCUGAUUAGCUUGUUGGCGGGGUAACGGCCCACCAAGGCGACGAUCGAGUAGGGGUUCUGAGAGGAACGGUCCCCCACAUUGGAACUGAGACACGGUACCAACUCCAACGGGAGGCAGCA